GGCCUUGCGGUAAAGGAUAGGUUCAUGGGAUAUCAGCUAGUUGGUGUGGUAAUAGCGCACCAAGGCUAAGACGUCUAGGCGGAUUGAGAGAUUGACCGCCAACACUGGGACUGAGACACUGCCCAGACUCCUACGGGAGGCUGCAGUCGAGAAUCUUUCGCAAUGGGCGAAAGCCUGACGAAGCGACGCCGCGUGAGUGAUGAAGGCUUUAGGGUUGUAAAGCUCUUUCGCCAGGGAACAAGAGAGAGUUAGGAAUAAUCAAUCAAUUUGAGCGUACCAGGUAAAGAAGCACCGGCUAACUCCGUGCCAGCAGCUGCGGUAAUACGGAGGGUGCAAGCAUUAAUCGGAUUUAUUGGG
Molecule: ribosomal RNA, 357 nt
Filed under: Rhabdochlamydiaceae bacterium
Lineage: Bacteria; Pseudomonadati; Chlamydiota; Chlamydiia; Parachlamydiales; Candidatus Rhabdochlamydiaceae
Description: bacterial SSU rRNA
Rfam family: Bacterial small subunit ribosomal RNA
Source: RNAcentral